UCCUUUUAGUUGUGGCACAAUCUGGGGAGGGUCAGAUGGUUAGAAAAUCUAAAACUUCGACGGGUUGAGAUUUUGGUCAAGAUCUGACCCGAAAGGAUCUUUAGUUCCGGGCAAUGUAUGUCCGACGGCCAGAAUGCUUGCUACGGGGUCGCCUCAAGCCAGCGAGGAGAUCUGCGGUGGUGGCAAGGAGUUUUGGAAGGCCGGAGGCGGUGGGUGUGUGAAGGGACAGUGGUGUCAACCUUUGGGUCUGUUUCUCAAAAGGCUUUUCUUUUCUUUUUUGUUUUUCAAAAAUAAAUAGUAAACUAAGGCAAUAGAAGUUUUGCAGGAUAAGGGUUUACGGUGGGAAAUUUCUAAGGAAAAGUUAGAACACAGGUGGGAUGUUUUGGGAAUUUCGCGGAAGCUAUGAAAUUUGAAUUGAAUUUAGUCUCUGAUACCAAAAUUAAUGUAGAACAAACAAAGAAAAAUAAAGAACCAAGAGAAACAAGGACCAAUCCUUGGAAAAGAG
RNAcentral lists this unclassified non-coding RNA (505 nucleotides) under Hevea brasiliensis (rubber tree). Lineage: Eukaryota; Viridiplantae; Streptophyta; Magnoliopsida; Malpighiales; Euphorbiaceae. The record is from RNAcentral.